This 444-nucleotide ribosomal RNA is filed under the name uncultured bacterium. RNAcentral describes it as "bacterial SSU rRNA". It matches the Rfam family "Bacterial small subunit ribosomal RNA", at positions 355 to 796 of the family's 1533-position model. The record is from RNAcentral.
UAAGGAAUAUUGGACAAUGGAGGCAACUCUGAUCCAGCCAUGCCGCGUGAAGGAAGAAGGACCUAUGGUUUGUAAACUUCUUUUGUAGCAGAGAAAACCCUCCCAUGCGUGGGAGGUUGAUAGUAUGCUAAGAAUAAGCAUCGGCUAACUUCGUGCCAGCAGCCGCGGUAAUACGAAGGAUGCAAGCGUUAUCCGGAUUUAUUGGGUUUAAAGGGAGCGUAGGCGGUCUUAUAAGUCAGUGGUGAAAUCUCGAUGCUUAACAUCGAACGUGCCAUUGAUACUGUAGGACUUGAGUACAGAUGCCGUUGGCGGAAUGUGUCAUGUAGCGGUGAAAUGCAUAGAUAUGACACAGAACACCGAUUGCGAAGGCAGCUGACGAAACUGUAACUGACGCUGAGGCUCGAAAGCGUGGGGAUCAAACAGGAUUAGAUACCCCGGUAGUCC